This 59-nucleotide microRNA precursor is filed under the name Gekko japonicus. RNAcentral's name for it is "Gja-Mir-130-P1a_pre stem-loop". The record is from RNAcentral. Lineage: Eukaryota; Metazoa; Chordata; Lepidosauria; Squamata; Gekkonidae.
GCCCUUUUUCUGUUGUACUACUGGCAAGUAUGAUUAGCAGUGCAAUAUUAAAAGGGCAU